RNAcentral lists this small nucleolar RNA (75 nucleotides) under Pogona vitticeps (central bearded dragon). RNAcentral describes it as "Small nucleolar RNA SNORD95 (ENSPVIG00000011178.1)". The record is from RNAcentral. Lineage: Eukaryota; Metazoa; Chordata; Lepidosauria; Squamata; Agamidae.
GUGCUGUGAUGAAACACACUACUAUGCCGUCUGACACAGCUUUCAUGUUGAAAACCAGAGGCUGUUUCUGAGCAU